CAGUAGCCACGGGAAUACGGAGGGUGCAAGCGUUAAUCGGAAUUACUGGGCGUAAAGCGUGCGUAGGCGGUUCGUUAAGUCUGUUGUGAAAGCCCCGGGCUCAACCUGGGAAUGGCAAUGGAUACUGGCGAGCUAGAGUGUGUCAGAGGAUGGUGGAAUUCCCGGUGUAGCGGUGAAAUGCGUAGAGAUCGGGAGGAACAUCAGUGGCGAAGGCGGCCAUCUGGGACAACACUGACGCUGAGGCACGAAGGCGUGGGGAGCAAACAGGAUUAGAUACCCCUGUAGUCCCUGUCUCUUAUAC
This 301-nucleotide ribosomal RNA is filed under the name uncultured bacterium. Its description in RNAcentral is "partial 16S ribosomal RNA". It matches the Rfam family "Bacterial small subunit ribosomal RNA", at positions 509 to 807 of the family's 1533-position model. The record is from RNAcentral.